Triticum aestivum (bread wheat) is the source of this 4818-nucleotide long non-coding RNA. RefSeq lists it as uncharacterized. NCBI's taxonomy places the organism in Eukaryota, Viridiplantae, Streptophyta, Magnoliopsida, Poales, Poaceae. The record is from RefSeq and is a predicted model, not a curated record. The transcript is spliced from 2 exons.
UCGGAUUUAUUUUUGUCCCAUUUCUUUCAUCCGGUUUUUUUCGUAGGUUUUUUUGUUCCGUCCACCACCUCUGCUCCGCUGGUUUUACCGUCGCGAGAGAAUCAAUCCCUCGCUAGCCUGGCCUCGUCUCCCGUCUCCAGUCGCAGCCGCCGCCGCACCCCAAUCCAACCCCGCCGCCAGCGAUCUCCUCGCCCCCCUGCGCCGCCGCCCCCAACCUUCUAUUCCUCUCCCAAGGGAAUCCCUAGGGAAGGGAAGGGAAGGCAAGGCAAGGGAAGGUAAGGGAAGGGAGAGGGAGCGCCCAGAUCCACGACGGCAUCUGCACUUCGCCCCCGCCGCUGCAUCCCUUCGCCGGUGCCCUCCCAGUUCAAAGCCGCCACCGCUUUGCUUCACGAACCGGCGACGAUCUACUUGUGGAGUCGCACGAUGAUCCCUUCCCGGAUCCGCCGCCGAUCACUUUCAGGAUCCGCCGCGGAUCACUUCCAGGAUCCGCCGCGUACCGCCUACAGGAUCCGCCGCCAAUCACUUCAAGGUUUCGCCACGUACCGCCUAUAGGAUCCGCCCGUUCGUGCUAUGGCUCCCUUUCCCUCUCCGCCAAAUCUGACCUUUGUGUAUGUGUUGCGCUGUGUGCGUGUGUGCUCUGCGUUAGUGAUGGGAUGGGCAUGCUCUGUGUGUGGCUUUCUAGUUUAGCUUGUGUGCGUGCGUGUUCUCCGCCGAUUGAUGCUUGUAUGAACUCAGCGUGUUUGUGUGCGUGCUGCUUGCUGCUUGCUGGCUGCCGAUGGAUGCUUGUUGCGUGUGCAUGCAUGUGUGUGGUGUUUGCUGGAUCAAGCAACAACGACACAUGUUGUUUUCUAAUUUUGGUGCGUGCAUAUAUCAUGCGAACAGGAGGCAUUAGAGACAGCUUAUUGAGAUGUAAUAACCAAGUAACACUGAAGAGACAAAAAAUACGUAUUAUUAUGCAACAGCUAAUUUCCUUAUCAUGUACUGUUUAUAGACAACCAUUGCUUGGUUAUGCGCUUCUUUUCUAUUGGUUGAUUAUGGACUACAUCACUCACUUCUAAAUUACAAACUGGAUAUCAUGUUCAACAUAAGAUCCCAUGUUCAAAUUUAUAGCUGGUUCAUCCACUUUUUAAUGUUAAUUGGUGAUAAGAGCAGCCUCACAGUUCAAGACACAUCAUAUAAUUAUUCUGUAUGAACUACCCUAGACUAAUCAUAUGUACACUUGCAGGGGCAGCUAGCUUUGCUGAUGCAUAUGCCGACAUGAUAAACAAGAUAUGCAUGCAUAUUUUAAUUUUAUUUGGAGAUAAGAUAUAUAUGCAAUACUAAUUGCUAAGUCGAGGAAGCAAGGUGUGUAGGUUCUCCUUGAUACUGUUUUUUUCCCUACAUUGUCGCACACUUGAAAAACAAUCCUUGCGUUUAGCCAAUAGUGUGUAGCUUCUCCUCGAUACUGAUUCUCAUACUUGCAGUGUUGGAUACUUUGCUUAACAUGAAACUGGAACAUGAAACACUGAUGCAGGUUUCAUGAUGGAACUGGAAAGGCCCUUCUGAAGAGAUCGGGACAAAGGAGUUCUGAAGAAGAAGAUUCAUCUACAGAAUAUAUAAUGUGCAUUGAAGAAAACAGAGAUUCAUCUUGGUGAGCACUAACCGUUCAUUUAUAGAUUGUUGGAGAGAUAAGUUGCUCCUAUGACUAAAAUUGUGCCGGCGCUCUGAUUUACUACUGGGUGCCCUUUAAAGGACAGACCCAGUGCAUAGAAGCUCCCACACAAGGUGGGGUCUGGGGAGGGAUUAUAGGAACCUAGUCUUACCCCUACAAAGUGCAAUGCAGAGAGGCUGGUUCGAACCCAGGACCUCUUGGCACAAGUGGGGAGGACUUCACCAUUGCGCUAGGCCUGCCCUCUACUGGGUGCCCUUUGUAGAGGUAAAUUUUAUUAUUAUUUUGGUCGUGUACGUGGGGGGGGGGGGGGGUCUUGAUUGAUUCACUAACUAUUCUAGCUUUGACGUUGUAUGUCAUCAGCUUGGGUUUGUUCCAUCAGACUUUUCACACAUUAUAUGACUUCGUUAGAAUUCAGGUUGCGUUCUAUCUUUUACUUUAAAAAAUAGCCACAUAGAGAGGAACUCAUUGGCUCCCCGGCACCAUCGAGCACUGAGGUUGACCAAACAAGUGUGUGAACAUUUAUGAGAUUUGUAAUUUGAAAACUAUAUAAAGCCAAAUAACUAUGAACACACCCUUGAAAUAAAUGUGAAAGGAGAAUCUGCGGUCUUACUAGAAAAAAUUGAAACAUUAGCUAGGAUUUGUUGGUUAGAUUCAUGUUGCUCCAUCCAUUUACUAUCAGUUCCUUUCAUAUAUUGCUUCCAUCAGAACAUGUUGACCUGAUUGUCCAUGGUUACACUCAUCUUCAAAUGGCAGAACUUGUUUUGCUGCCACAUCUUCUCUUACCAUACGAUGAAUAGGUACUAUGUUCCAUCCCUCUCUUAUUUCACACUGCAUUAACAAUGUUUUUUCAGUGUGUCGAUUUGCCUAACUAUGCCUUAUUGAUUACUGAUUUUGUUACUAAUGUGUACACAAACGCUGCCUAAUUAAUUUAGUCCACUAUAUCUAACCAUAUGAAAAGUGAAAGUUGAUUCUGACUACUUGCCUGGUGGUGCGGUACAUUACCUCUUUUUUCAAAUUAUGAGAGCGGAACGACAGCGUUGGCGUGGACGACUCGGAGCUCAACCCCGUCAAGGGCCGCGAGCAGGAGCGGCUUUCUUUUCAACAAGAAGAUGACCAAGGUCCAAGGGCGCCGCCAGCCACUUUGUCGUUGUCAUCGAAGAGUCCAAGAUUGUCCCCGCAUCGGUUGCAUUGGUGCCGAUCAGGUGCUAAUCUGAAUCCUUGUCCAAUUGCAAGUGGCCUAUAAAAAACCCUGGGUUGAAUGCACAUUACCGUCACACUGCCAUGUAAUUUUUGUUGGUACACAAUCAUGUUGCUGCAGUUCUAUUUAUAGACUUUUUGGUCAUUUUGUCUUUGUCUUUGUCCAUGGUCAGAUCAUGUUUUUAAGCUUGAUUGUUAUGAGUCAGUAAGGUGAGAAUGAGCGGUAAUGGUUUAACUAAUCAUCCCAUCAUGUUUUUAGUAUCACUAAUUUAUUUAUGCUAAUUCUUUCAACAUUCUUGCCUUUGAUGAUUCUAAAAGGUAAAGAGAAAUGUUAAAGAAUUCAUCUUCUGCUAUGGCACACAACCCCGCCUGCUCCGUGGAUGUCUACGCAAUCAUCGUCCUUAACCGCUAUCUAGCGUCUGUGACCUCUGUUGGCCUCAUCAUGGUUCCUUGACCCUCCAGCUGCUCACGUGCUUCUCUGUUCGUCGCAGGUCCAGGUCUGCGCGGUUGGGGCGUCAAUCACGUGUUCAGCGACAUGUCAGAGCAACUCUCUGGCCAGAACCCUGACUAUGUGCGCUUCAGGUAAUGCAAUCUGCCAGAUAUGUAUGUUCACGUUUGUCAGUUGGGUUACACUAGGACCAGGGCAUGUGCACCAGAAUUUUCCUGCCCAUGUGGUUGCCGGUCUUCUGGAUUGGUUUGGCUGCUAUAAAAAAAGUAGAACCAGUUCCACCAAAAUCGAUACUAGGCUACUAGCAGUACCAUUGUCUUUGUCAAUUUUGUACCUGCCAUAGUAAGAUGACCCCUAUUCUUAAGAAUACAUAAUAGAUGAUAUUGUAGUGGUAUGAGAUUAGCUUUUACUUCUUUCCAUUGAUUGCUACAGAUUUUGGAAGAACACUGUUGUCCACGUUAUAUCAUACACUUCCAAAUUAUAAAGCAUUCUUGUUGUAUGUAAGUUACCUAUUAUCCACAGUGUACAAGUAGUGGUUCAGAACUACAGAGAGAAGUCUAAGAUAUUCAUCGUUAUUUCUCCAGUAAGAUAUCCCCCUUCGUUAAUACUGCCCUAUUCCUUUUCCCUUUUUCAUGAAAGUAGGAGUGAUGAAGAACUGAAACAUAGUUACAGUGGGCGUUUUUAUAGGAACAAACUGAAGAACUUGACAUUAACAUAAUUGUAGUACUAAUUCAGGUGUCCCAGGUUUUAUUACCACUAGAACAUGUUGACCUAAUUGUCCAUGGUUACACUCAUUUUCAAAUGGCACAACUUGUCUUGUUGCCACAUCUUCAAAAUCGUUAAUAGGCUACUAGCAGUACCAUUGUACUCCCUCUAUUCCGAAUUACUUGUCGCAGGUAUGGAUGUAUCUAGAUGUAUUUUAGUUCUAGAUACAUCCAUUUCUGCGACGAGUAAUUUGGAACGGAGGGAGUAUUUGUCAAUUUUGUACCUGGCAAAGUAAGAUGACCCCUAUUUUGAAGAAUACAUACCUGAGAAUAUUGUAGUGUUAGGAGAUUAGCUUUUACUUUUUUCCAUUGAUUGCUAUAGAUUUUGAGAGAACACUAUUGUCCAUGUUAUAUCGUAUACUUCCAAAUUAUAAAGAGUUCUUGUUAUAUGUAAGUUCCCUAUUAUCCACACAAUCCAAGCAGUGGUUCAGCACUACAGAGAAAGAAAGCACCAAUAACUUGUUUUUUCAUUUCUUUUUGGUGAUAAAACUGGAUUUUGCUUUUCCAUGAUCAUGUGUUGAUGCCUUUGUCUCUAUCAAAUAUUAGGGGUAAUGAAUUUUCCUGUGCUGGAUCAACAUGCAGAUCCUGCCCACCUUGAAGUCAUAAAUCCAGUGAAGUCAAUUUCAGUAUAUUCAGGACAUAGCCAGUAGCUUAGCAAUUUCCACGAGUAUGUUUUGUUUACAAUAAAGUUGUGUGCAAAAUGUAUAUGCUACAUUAUGCAUGAUUCUCUCUUUUAUCAAAGUAUAUCCAUGUGUUUA